RNAcentral lists this unclassified non-coding RNA (307 nucleotides) under plant metagenome. RNAcentral's name for it is "partial contains 5.8S ribosomal RNA, internal transcribed spacer 2, and large subunit ribosomal RNA". The stretch from base 1 to 105 matches the Rfam family "5.8S ribosomal RNA", at positions 50 to 154 of the family's 154-position model. The record is from RNAcentral.
GAAAUGCGAUAAGUAAUGUGAAUUGCAGAAUUCAGUGAAUCAUCGAAUCUUUGAACGCACAUUGCGCCCGCCAGCACUCUGGCGGGCAUGCCUGUUCGAGCGUCAUUUCAACCCUCAGAACCCCUUGCGGGAUCUGGCGUUGGGGAUUGGCAUCCAGCCAGCCCCGAAAUCUAGUGGCGGUCCCUCCGCGACCUCCCCUGUGCAGUAGCGAUACCUCGCAGCGGGACAGCGGUCUGACCACGCCGUAAAACCCCCAACUUCUCAAGGUUGACCUCGAAUCAGGUAGGAAUACCCGAUGAACUUAAGC